UGAGCCAAGUUUAGGGUUUCUUAAAAACCCAAGCAGUAUUGAACUGAAGAGUUUGAUCAUGGCUCAGAUUGAACGCUGGCGGCAGGCCUAACACAUGCAAGUCGAGCGGAUGACGGGAGC
Molecule: ribosomal RNA, 120 nt
Filed under: Pseudomonas sp. CAH-1
Lineage: Bacteria; Pseudomonadati; Pseudomonadota; Gammaproteobacteria; Pseudomonadales; Pseudomonadaceae
Also listed under: 1 other name
Description: partial 16S ribosomal RNA
Rfam family: Bacterial small subunit ribosomal RNA (bases 41-120)
Source: RNAcentral